RNAcentral lists this ribosomal RNA (250 nucleotides) under uncultured Chroococcidiopsis sp. Its description in RNAcentral is "partial 16S ribosomal RNA". It matches the Rfam family "Bacterial small subunit ribosomal RNA", at positions 796 to 1044 of the family's 1533-position model. Lineage: Bacteria; Bacillati; Cyanobacteriota; Cyanophyceae; Chroococcidiopsidales; Chroococcidiopsidaceae. The record is from RNAcentral.
CUAGCCGUAAACGAUGGAUACUAGGCGUUGAGAGGAUCGACCCUCGCAGUGCCGUAGCUAACGCGUUAAGUAUCCCGCCUGGGGAGUACGCGCGCAAGCGUGAAACUCAAAGGAAUUGACGGGGGCCCGCACAAGCGGUGGAGUAUGUGGUUUAAUUCGAUGCAACGCGAAGAACCUUACCAGGGCUUGACAUGUCCGGAACCCUGCCCAAAGGUGGGGGUGCCCACGGGAGCCGGAACACAGGUGGUGC